Molecule: ribosomal RNA, 873 nt
Filed under: marine metagenome
Description: bacterial SSU rRNA
Rfam family: Bacterial small subunit ribosomal RNA
Source: RNAcentral
CGGAUAAGUCUUUACGGAGAAAGCUUUAUGCACCAUUGGAUGAGCCUGCACUUGAUUAGUUUGUUGGUAGGGUAAUGGCCUACCAAGACUUUGAUCAAUAGCUGAUUUGAGAGGAUGAUCAGCCACAUUGGGACUGAGACACGGCCCAAACUCCUACGGGAGGCAGCAGUGGGGAAUCUUGCACAAUGGAGGAAACUCUGAUGCAGCGAUGCCGCGUGAGUGAAGAAGGCCCUUGGGUUGUAAAGCUCUUUCGUCGGGGAAGAAAAUGACUGUACCCGAAUAAGAAGGUCCGGCUAACUUCGUGCCAGCAGCCGCGGUAAUACGAAGGGACCUAGCGUAGUUCGGAAUUACUGGGCUUAAAGAGUUCGUAGGUGGUUGAAAAAGUUGGUGGUGAAAUCCCAGAGCUUAACUCUGGAACUGCCAUCAAAACUUUUCAGCUAGAGUUUGAUAGAGGAAAGCAGAAUUUCUAGUGUAGAGGUGAAAUUCGUAGAUAUUAGAAAGAAUACCAAUUGCGAAGGCAGCUUUCUGGAUCAUUACUGACACUGAGGAACGAAAGCAUGGGUAGCGAAGAGGAUUAGAUACCCUCGUAGUCCAUGCCGUAAACGAUGUGUGUUAGACGUUGGAAAUUUAUUUUCAGUGUCGCAGCGAAAGCGAUAAACACACCGCCUGGGGAGUACGACCGCAAGGUUAAAACUCAAAUGAAUUGACGGGGACCCGCACAAGUAGUGGAGCAUGUGGUUUAAUUCGAAGAUACGCGCAGAACCUUACCAACACUUGACAUGUUCGUCGCGACUUUAAGAGAUUAAAGUUUUCGGUUCGGCCGGACGAAACACAGGUGCUGCAUGGCUGUCGUCAGCUCGUGUCGUGAGAUGU